UGCGCAGUAUAAGGGCUUAUUUAGUAUUAUGGUAGUUGGUUAUGUUAAAAGCUAACCAAGCCUUAGAUGCUUAGCAGGCUUUAACGAGUGAUCUGCCACAACGGGCUUGAAAUAGUGCCUGAACAUUUAUGGCAGCAGUAAAGAAUCUUGGGCAAUGCAUUCAAGUGUGACCCAGCAAGUCUCCGUGGAUGAUGAAGAUAUUAAAUUAUAUUGUAAAAUUCUAUCUUUUUAUAUUUAUAAUGAAUUAUAAAAAGGAAAGCACAGGCUAAAUUCGUGCCAGCAGCCGCGGUAAUACGGAUUGUGCAAGUCUUUGACCUCGUGACUAGGUGUAAAAGGCCACAUAGGAGGUUAUAAAAGUUAUUGAGUAAAUACAGGGUAUAAACCUUGGAAUCUUAAUAAAACUUUAUAACUAGAAUAUAAUAGGG
This 425-nucleotide ribosomal RNA is filed under the name uncultured bacterium. Its description in RNAcentral is "bacterial SSU rRNA". It matches the Rfam family "Bacterial small subunit ribosomal RNA", at positions 214 to 656 of the family's 1533-position model. The record is from RNAcentral.